GGAUCUCCUGAGCAAUACAUUCGCGGUAGAUCGCCUGAUAGAUUACACCCAAGCUUAAUGCCUAUCGAUCAGCAACAACCCCACUAAGGUAGAGAUCAUAUAGUCCCUAAAGACAACGGUUAGCAUCUCCACGGGCAAACUCCAGAAAUCCCGGUUAUUUCAGACAACGAUCACCUUCACAAGGAUACGGAGCAAAUCAAAGUGCUGCUCCAACAAUGGAGUCUUUAAACAGCAAAGGGUCGGGCCAGUAGGCCAACGCACGAUUCCAAAGUCCAUUGGCCAUGAAACAUCACCUCAUCACAAAAUCGAACAGAGGCCCACGGCCUCGUCCGAUAUUGUCAUCAGACGAACCAUUUGAAAGAGCUUAGCAGAACGAGGUACUAUACAUGACCAGAAUGUGAGCAUGAUUGUGGACACUGCUGCAAUGAUAACAUUAGUAAAUGAGAAAUUAAUUACGGCAGAAAAUGGAGAUUUUGAGAACGUAACGCUACGUGGUUUGUGUUAACAGCUUGUUAUUGGGAAGACUAUAAAGAACGACUCUCGACAUUAAUAGAGUAAACAGACGAUGUUAUUCUUAGGCUAGAUAUUUUGGACAUACUGAGCGUAGUGAUAAACCUGAGUACUCCCACAAUUACCAUCAACAAUAAAGUGAUAAAUGUGGCAUUUGUUAACGGUGGAAACGAGAUUUCAACUCAGCAAAUUUGCAUAAAACGAACCAUCACAGUUCCACCAAACUCAGAAAUGACUGUUACCAUUAAAACUAAUAAAAGUGCUGAUCAGGAGUGCAUUUUAGGACCAUGCUCGCUGAAUAGUUGCGAAAUUAGGUUUCGCACGUCGUUGGAAAAGGAAAUAGUAGCCCCUUAACCAUUUUAAAUGAUGGGAAUCGCCUAUUCCGCCUGAAGAAAGGUACACCUAUUGAUUACAUAGAACAAUUUGACGAUGUAGUGCGUACGGCAGAUGAAAACGCGAUAAGUGACGUAAGACGUUACAUUGAAGAGACACGAGACAGGGUGCCCUCGGCACUGCCUCAAAGUUCAGAUGAGUUAUCUACUAUUCCACCACAUUUAACCGACCUAUAUUAACGUUCAAUCGACUCGUUUCAACCUAUUUCAUACCAACCAUUAAAACUGAAGUGGUUUAAAGAAUAACAUGUAACAUAUUGAUUAACAUUUUGAAUUUCACUAUUUUUGUAUGUGCAGCCAUAUUUGCAAAUGUAUGUGUAAUAGAAAUAACCAAAUUAUUUUUUUUUAUAUUUUAAAAUUAAUUGAUAACAAAUUCAAGAACAUGGAGUCCAUUUUUGAAGAAUCAUAACUUUAAUUUCCGAAAUUAUAUAGAAUACCUUUAGGACAAUCUUGAUUUUUAUACCGUUUUUCCGCCAUCUUGAAAAUGGCAGCCAUAUUGGAUUUUUCAGAGUGGGUCCAUAGCUGAAAUCAAAGGGUAUAUAACCAAGAACUACUAUGCAAAGUUUCGUGCUUUCCUCAUCAAGUGAACAAUUCUGCUCUAUAUCUGCACCAAUCGGCCGGACUA
This 1527-nucleotide long non-coding RNA is filed under the name Mytilus galloprovincialis (Mediterranean mussel). The record is from RNAcentral. Lineage: Eukaryota; Metazoa; Mollusca; Bivalvia; Mytilida; Mytilidae.